RNAcentral lists this ribosomal RNA (253 nucleotides) under uncultured bacterium. Its description in RNAcentral is "partial 16S ribosomal RNA". It matches the Rfam family "Archaeal small subunit ribosomal RNA", at positions 474 to 727 of the family's 1478-position model. The record is from RNAcentral.
UACCAGCACCCCGAGUGGUCGGGACGAUUAUUGGGCCUAAAGCAUCCGUAGCCGGUUCUACAAGUCUUCCGUUAAAUCCACCUGCUUAACAGAUGGGCUGCGGAGGAUACUAUAGAGCUAGGAGGCGGGAGAGGCAAGCGGUACUUAGUGGGUAGGGGUAAAAUCCACUGAUCCAUUGAAGACCACCAGUGGCGAAGGCGGCUUGCCAGAACGCGCUCGACGGUGAGGGAUGAAAGCUGGGGGAGCAAACCGG